AUACUUACAUGGCAGGGAAGAUAUCAUAUCAUGAAGGUGGGUUUUUCUAGGCAAGUGUUAUCCAUUGCACUCUAGAUGCGCUGACUCCUACCGUUUCUCCAAAUGUGGAAAACUCAACUGAAUAAUUUGUGGUAGUGAAAGACUGAGUUCAUGCUCUCCCCUAAA
Molecule: small nuclear RNA, 165 nt
Filed under: Castor canadensis (American beaver)
Lineage: Eukaryota; Metazoa; Chordata; Mammalia; Rodentia; Castoridae
Description: U1 spliceosomal RNA (ENSCCNG00000004185.1)
Rfam family: U1 spliceosomal RNA
About the family: U1 is a small nuclear RNA (snRNA) component of the spliceosome (involved in pre-mRNA splicing). Its 5' end forms complementary base pairs with the 5' splice junction, thus defining the 5' donor site of an intron.
Source: RNAcentral